AGGGGUUGUGUAUGUGUUUGGCCUUUUAUUUAACUUGAGCUAAAUACAUCUAUAUCCGUUUUA
RNAcentral lists this microRNA precursor (63 nucleotides) under Solanum tuberosum (potato). Its description in RNAcentral is "miR8004 stem-loop (stu-MIR8004)". The record is from miRBase by way of RNAcentral. Lineage: Eukaryota; Viridiplantae; Streptophyta; Magnoliopsida; Solanales; Solanaceae.